This 408-nucleotide long non-coding RNA is filed under the name Heterocephalus glaber (naked mole-rat). RNAcentral's name for it is "lncRNA (ENSHGLG00100041956.1)". The record is from RNAcentral. Lineage: Eukaryota; Metazoa; Chordata; Mammalia; Rodentia; Bathyergidae.
GUAGUUUUAUGUGUGCACUUUAAUUAUUUUGGGGGAUACUUGGGAUUGAACCCUUGGCUGUCACACUGAGCUACAUCCCCAUGCCUUUCCUUUUAAAGGUGUUUUAUUUUGAGACAGGUUCUCACUAAGUUACUAGGUUGCCCAGACUGGACUUGAACUUGUGAGCCUCCUACGUCAGCCCCACAGAGUGCCGGGAUUGUAGGUUAUCGCUCAUGCCCAGUAGCCACACGGAACUCAGAAGCUGUCAGCCAGGAUCUGAACUUGCAACCUGAGAGGUGGAUGGUGGUGGGACAUGCUGGUGGGCAGGAGCUGAGGACCUGGGCGGCAGAGCCAGGACAUCCCUCCCUCAUCUUCAGUGUCCCGCUGGAAGUGGAGGAAAGCGAGGCCCAGCACGCGCAGUCCCGGGGG